RNAcentral lists this ribosomal RNA (497 nucleotides) under uncultured bacterium. RNAcentral's name for it is "partial 16S ribosomal RNA". It matches the Rfam family "Bacterial small subunit ribosomal RNA", at positions 28 to 507 of the family's 1533-position model. The record is from RNAcentral.
GACGAACGCUGGCGGCGUGCCUAAUACAUGCAAGUCGAACGCUGAAGAGAGUAGCUUGCUCUUCUUGGAUGAGUUGCGAACGGGUGAGUAACGCGUAGGUCACCUGCCUUGUAGCGGGGGAUAACUAUUUGAAACGAUAGCUCAUACCGCAUAACAAUGGAUGACACAUGUCAUUUAUUUGAAAGGGGCAUUUGCUCCUCUACACGAUGGACCUGCGUUUUAUUAGCUAGUAGGUGAGGUACCUGCUCACCUAGGCGACGAUACAUAGCCUACCUGAGCGGGUGAUCGGCCACACUGGGACUGAGACACGGCCCAGACUCCUACGGGAGGCAGCAGUAGGGAAUCUUCGGCAAUGGGGGCAACCCUGACCGAGCAACGCCGCGUGAGUGAAGAAGGUUUUCGGAUCGGAAAGCUCUGUUGUAAGUCAAGAACGAGGGUGAGAGUGGAAAGUGCACACUGUGACGGUAGCUUACCAGAAAGGGACGGCUAACUACGUG